Molecule: small RNA, 50 nt
Filed under: Sphingomonas jejuensis
Lineage: Bacteria; Pseudomonadati; Pseudomonadota; Alphaproteobacteria; Sphingomonadales; Sphingomonadaceae
Description: ffh sRNA
Rfam family: ffh sRNA
Source: RNAcentral
UGGACCUGGCGACGCCGGUCGGCGAGGUUUCGCCCACCGGCGUUUUUGGC